Molecule: long non-coding RNA, 523 nt
Organism: Salvelinus sp. IW2-2015
Lineage: Eukaryota; Metazoa; Chordata; Actinopteri; Salmoniformes; Salmonidae
Source: RefSeq, a predicted model, not a curated record
AGCAGUCCAAAAGACAAGGUGAUAUCUCUGCGAUGUGAAGACUGGUUCACUCCCUCCAACACAGGAUGUGGCUGAUGGCUUGUCCUCAAAACUAAUCGACAAAGGUGCCCAAUUUGUGGAUGAUAACAUGGAAAAACUUGUUCAAAGGAUUACCAUGGUGAUGCCAAUAGCAGAUGGCCUGCACCAGAGGAAAAUGAUCCAUGAUGAGGAUUACUCUGAAAUCACUGCGGCCCAAACCAGUAUGUCAAAGAUGAGAAAGCUGUAUGUGGCCCUGAAACCAGGAGGAGAGGUGGCUAAAUCAGCCUUUUACAAAAUUCUACUGGAACAACAAUCUCUUCUAGUCAACGAACUGGGUGGGGUUGGCCAGAAAUGAAGUCAUAACUUGAGCGGCUUCUACAGUCUUGGUCUGGACGGACUUUUUUUCAAAUCUCACACAUUGCCUCAGAAAUAUUGGUCCUUUCACACCACUGUUGUCAAACAACAAUUUGGAACAAAAUAAAUAAAAUAAAAAUAUUGAAUCACA